Molecule: unclassified non-coding RNA, 272 nt
Filed under: plant metagenome
Description: partial contains small subunit ribosomal RNA, internal transcribed spacer 1, and 5.8S ribosomal RNA
Source: RNAcentral
UUUCCGUAGGUGAACCUGCGGAAGGAUCAUUAAUGAGUUGUCAUGGGGUUCGAUGCUGGCAGCCAGUUUAUGGAUGCAUGUGCUUGCACCAACAAUCAUCUUCUUCCAAACACCUGUGCACAUUUUUGAGGGAGUCUUGAGUUGGUUGCCGCUCUUGGGUGAUUUUCUCACAUUCCCUGAAAUCAUUAUACGCUAUUAACCAUGUUGAACGUGCUCUGUGACGCAAGGCCAUUAAUUUAAUACAACUUUUAACAACGGAUCUCUUGGCUCUC